AUUAGUUUUCAUUUUAUUAAUCCUCAAAUAUUCUUAUUUAAACCUUACAGGGUUUCUACAGUUAGAAUGUUUUUGGCUACAAGCAACCCUUCCAUCUCCAACAUGGAUUCCGACUAAAACAAUACAUAACUUUAUUAUUUCACAUAAGAUUAAGUCUUCAGGUAAUGAUGAAUCUGUAAUCAGUUAAGUUACCAUCUAAACAAGAUGCCAGAGGCCGACAUUCUUUCUACCUUGACUCUCUGCUCCCUUUAGCCUGUUGGGUUUUAUCCUGAAGCUGUCAUCCCUUAUGAUCACAGGGGGCUCCUUGUUGUUCUGGUUGCCAUAUCAUAUCACAAAACAACAUGCAGAUGAAAAGACUCCUUUUCUUCAUUUAUGUCUUUUUAUUAUCAACAAAUGCUUUCCUAGAAGCCCCCAGAGACUUUUUCUUAUGUCCCAGGAGCAAGCAUCACCCAGCAUAACAAUUCAUAAACCAAAUGUCAGCAAGGGAGAUAGGAUUAGUGGUACUGGCUUCAGAAGUGAAAUGCAUAAUUUUACAUUAAUGGAAAGCUUUGCCUGUUCACAUCAGGACUCCUUUGGGAAUCUAGAGGACAAAGCAGAAAUAAAGACAUGUACAGAACUUUUAAUCACCCAGAAGCUAUGAUGCUGCCCCACAAAGCAGCACAACUCACUUGGCCCUUAUUCUGGCCCCACAGUGUUUUUACAUGCUUGUGUGAGUCUUUUGGGUCAGGUUUAAAUCCUGGCUCUUUCAAUUAUUGCUUCAUGAUAUGGGUAAUUAACUCAGUUUCCUUAUUCAGAAAUAGGGAUAAUAAUAGCACCACAUUCAUAGUGUUGUUUCGAAUAUUAAAGGAGUUAGUAUAAGAAAAGCAUUUAGAACGGUGCCUUGCUAUAUGAAAUAAUCAGUACAUUGUACACACACACAUUUACCCAUUGAUUCAUAUUUAUAUGAAUUGAACCGAAUGACAAGAGGAAUCAAGUAUUGUCAAGGUGGAGUCGUGGGACUUAAUUCUGGCCAAUGGAAAAUAGAUGGAAGUAAUGUAUAUCACUUCUAUGAGUGGCCUAUAGAAACUUCCUUUCAAGAUCAAUCCCUCUUCCCUUUCUGACUGGUUGAAUGGAGACAAGCUCUCAGCCCCUCUCCUCAGGGCAACCUAGACAAUCAUGUGGUGAAGAGAGCAGGCGUUCCAAAAGAUGCCUACUAGAGAGCACCCUCCCUCCCACACACAGAACACCAAAUUGAACUGUAAGGUGAGCAAGAAAUAAUUGUGUUGUUUUUAUUUUAUGUCAUUUCAUUGUGUUAAGUCACAAAGAUUUCAAGCCUCACCUGAUAUGGCAGCUAGCAAAUAUCUCAAUAAAUAUGCCCAUCUUUGUGAGCCUGGAGAAAUAGAUGACAUAUCUAACUAUGAUAGCAACUGUUUGUAUUUUUCUUUCCUACUAUAAUCUAUCUUUUGUAUACAUAUCUUUUUAGAAACUCCUGUGGUUACAAACUAGAGGCUGAUAGGCUAGGUUGGGGCACAGAUAUUUUUAUUUGGCCUGUACAAUAUUGUCUGGAUUCAUUGUCAACACACACACACCUUUUCAUGUCUGGCAUCUCUGAAAAAGGCAGAAUAUCCAUAACGCUGCUGAUGGCAACUAUUGGCUUGGCCAAAUAGAGGUCCCUGUCGAUAGAGCAUGGGAUCUCCAUUUGCCACUAUCCCCAACCCUCUUAACUGUAUCAUGGCCAGUCCACAUUCCCCUGUGUAUGUUGUCUGCCAGGUCUCUGGAGCCCUUAGGACUUGUUGUUAGCCCCUUUCUUUGUAAAGAGUGCUGGGCUUUCUGAGAGGUGUUCUUUGGUUAGUUUGUUUCUCUAAGCAUUUUCUCCCAAUGACAUUUCAAAUGCCCUUCCAAGUUGUACAGGGCAAGAUGGGGUUUUCCUCCUUCUGUGCAUCUGCAGUACUAACGGAUGCAGAAUCAGCACUUCAUGUGGAAUCUGAAAGCUGUCAAGCUUCUCCCCUGACUUUCCACUUAGGUGGUGGGAGGGCUUUAUCAACUAUCCAAAAUAACCAAAAUGGACCUGCUGCAUUCCUGCUGCAUUUCUUUCCAAUACAUUUGAAACCUUUGUUCAGAUAUUGGACAUGCAAGACAACAAGCGUCAAGACAAUGGAGCCACCAAGAAUUGUGACCCUUUAUCUAGCCCUGGGUGUGGAACUAUUAAUUACUGCAGACUAUGCCCCACUUCCCUGAUGCUGAGAACAACAUAAUGAAGCCCUGUGGAGACACUGAGAGAAAGAAUACCUAUCAUUAACUCUUCACACAGACAGAUAAGGCUGGGAAAGUGCAAACUUGGAUAAAACUCUUCUUUAUGGAUAUCCAGGGAGAUGAAGAGUGUUUCUUUAAAAUAAAGCUUGUCUUAAAGAGAAUCACUUUCAAGGAUUAAAGGUAGUAGUAUAUGAGUAACAUGCUUUUAAGCAACAACUCAAGGGGACAAAAUGAUAUCCUUUAUGGCCAGAGCACUCUGAAAAAAUGGUUUACAUUCUUCAAAUAUUAUCAUUUUUGUUUAAUUUUUAGAGAAUUGCAAUAAGAUGGUCCCAUUUCCUUAUAGCUCUCUUUUGGUGACCUCAUCCAAAUUUAAGUUUCUAAAUCUGAAUGUAAAUGAAUGGAUCAGACCUGUAUAAGUCAGGGCCAGUGAGAGAAAUGGGCACUUUGUAAUAGAAGUAAUUUCAAAUUCCAGUAAAGCUCUGCUUGAUUUCCCCCUUUUCCAUCUAGCAUGCUAAUCUCCAUCUGGCUGCAGUAGCAGCAUCUGCCUUUAAAAUGACCCUUUUCCUUCUCAGGAAGGAGAGCGAAUUGUGCUCUCCAUGUUUCAGGACUGCACCUCUUCUGGGUCACCCUCCUGAUUAAUGUGCUUUUCUAUGAGUAAUAUCAUAAUUCACAGUUUUUUCCCCUUUUUCUUUGAGACUAACUGGGUAAUUCAAGUUUCAUUUUCUCUCUCUGGGUAUUUAAAGGCCAGCCCUUCAGACCAAUUUUAGCCAUCUAUUGCUGGUGAGCCAAUUUCUUGAGAGGCCUAUUUGCAGAGCUGGUUCUGUAAGCUUGAGCCUGCUCCACCAGCCAGGCCCUUACAUUGCAUGUGGAAUUUAUUCAGACAAAGUCAUUUUUUGAGCAUAAAAUGAAUGUUAUGGAGUCAGUAUCACUGACUUUGUAGGCUAUUUCCAGUACCAUUUAGGCACUGAUUGGGCCUUUUACAUGGUCUCUAAUAUUACAGAUUUGGUAAAUAUCAAGUAUUAACCAAACUAUUUCUGACACAUUCCAACUCAUGACUUCCUUCCUUUUCAAUUGUGUGCAGAAAUAGAACAGAAUAUGACAAUAGGAAGAUGUUACAUGGUUCUAUGAUAGGUGACAGGAUUAGGGAGAGGAAGCAACUCUCACAAUAUAUCUUAGGCCAUUUUGGUAAUAAGCAAACGUGGAAUUUGGAUCCAAGCUAAUGUAAAUAUAUUCAUAUUGGUGCACGUAUGUUCCUAUUUUCAUGUAUGUUCUAUGGAAUCUGUCUCAUAAUUUUGUGAUCACAGCUCAUAUACAUGACUAGGACAUGAAAUCUUGUGCAUCUAAUUGACAACAGGUGUCAUCCUGUAUAUGGCAAAUGAAUCUGAUAUUCCAUGUAGUGUUUGGUAUGUAUGGUCAUCUACAAAAUCCUAUUUGUGAAAUAUAAAAUUUGGAUUUUGUAUGUGCUUUGUUCUGAAUCUGGAAACAGAUGGUAUUUCUUAGUGUUUGUCUUUCCUGAUAUGUAGCCCUGAUUAUUUGUAAAAUUGAGGUAUUUAAAAAUGAUUGCUGGAAGCUUUACAAUCUUUGAGAGGAAGGAUAGGAAAUGUCUAAGGAAGUAAGAGGCUUUGGAGUUAUAUGAUAAUCAGAAUAAAACCCACAAUUUUCUGGCUUCUGUAAAUAAUAGGAAUAUCACUGGUCAUGGAGGUAGGUAUAGAGUUGAAACAGUGAUGGCAAGAGCUUUUUCUCCUCUUCUUUGGAACACAUACAUAUUUGGUAACUAUAUUUUUAUUCAUUUUGAGAGAGAGAGGGCAGAAAGGUAGGGAGAGAAUCCCAGGCAGGCUCCCUGCUGUCAGUGUGAAGCCUAACGCAGUACCUGAUUCCACAAACCAUGAGAUCAUGACCUGAGCCGAAAUCAAGAGUCAGAUGCUCAAUUGGCUGAGCCACACUGUCAGUUGUGGGGUACCCCCACAACUAUAUUUUUUAAAUCAAUAAUGGGGUCAUGUAAUAUGGUGAUUUGAACAUUCUUCAAGGCUCUAUCUUUGAUAUGAAAAUUUUAUGUGUAAUGGUACAGAAAUUUAAAUUCAGCUCUCAGAAAAACACAUGUUCUUAUUUUGAAUUUCCCUUAAUCCUCUAGGAGAAUAUUGAUCUUAUUAGCUAAUGAGAGAGCUCUGGUGGGCACCUCUCUGUGUGUUGGUCUUCUAGACUCAGUCCCUUUAUUUUCAUUGUUUUCCUUAGAAUGGUAAGAAUUUCAGGACUGGUAGGGGAAGAGUGUUAUAUUAGGGAUGAAACCAAAUUAGAGAAAGCAGAUCCCAAGAACUCAUAAGAGAGAUAAAAAUCAGUCAUUAGGUAACAAUUUUCAGCUAUUCAUCAUCAGUUUGCCAAUAUAUGGUACUGAUGGACAAGCAUCUUUCAGCUGAAGUUAACUAAUACUUUUUAACAACAGUAAUAGCAAAUAUCACUUAUUAAAUGCUCAGUAUAUUCCAGACAUGCUAAACACCCUAUCUUAUUUAGCCCUUACAACAUACAUAUGAGGCAGGUACCAUUAUCUUUUUACAAAAGAUGAAAGGAAACAGCUUUAGGGAGAUUAUUCUAUUUCAUUGAUUCUGAGGCAAACGUUAUUUUACAUUUUAUUUUCUUAGACAUCAUGCUGCAUCUUCAAAUUGAUGGAAUCUUAUGACAGUUUUCAUUGUCUGGUCAUAAACAUCAACAGUGCCAGGUUGAAAACUUGCAGAAUGGGUGCCAAGUUUAGGGAAGAAAAUCCCAGACAGGAUAGUGGGAUUUUUAACUCCCAUGAAGCAAAUAGUUGUGGAGGUGGUGAGAAAGGAGGCAUAUCAGACAGAUUUAGCAUCAUUCCCAACACUUUUAAGUUAACUUUUAAAUUAAAAGUAAGCUAGCUCUGCAGAACUAGAAACCAUGUGUCUUUUGUUCUCUGUGAAUUUUCUUACAAAUGCAGCACUGUUCAUGCUGUCAAUAGACUGAGGAUCACUGUAUGAUAUGAUGUAGAAAACCACGGACAUUCAUGACUCUAACAUGUUUCAGAAGAGUCAGAUUCUACAUGUCAACAAGUUUUAGAAAUACCUUAACCAAUUUCUUUAUACAACAUAGACAUAGAAGUGAUCCAUGACAAAAAUCCAUGGCUAAUAAAAUUUAAAGUAGCUCUUUCAUUAAUUCUAACAUAAAAUGUUUCAGAGAUAAAAAGCAUCAUGUCAUAGUCUACAAUCACUAGUAUCUUUAUUCAAUAAAAUAGAGAUAAAUGUUUGUCUGGAUUUAGAGGCCAAGGUCAGAAUGUCAGGCUACAAGGUAUUCACUAAUGUUUUGUUAAAAAUUUCUUUCUUGAGGACAAGCAUGGCAAGACCACUAAUCUCUUUUUGGUGAAGACAUCCUGAGACCAAGAAGUACUAAUUAUACUUAUUACUAUUAUGUUAUUUUCUAAGACAGGGUGAGAGAGAAUCUUAAGCAGGCUCCAUGCCCAGCGUGGAGCCCAACAUAGGGCUCCACCCCAUGAACCGUGAGAUCAUGACCUGUGUCGAAAUCAGGAAUCAGAUGCUUAACCAAAUGAGCCACCCAGGCACAGAUACUAAUUAUUAUAAUGCCAUGUUAAACUUAUACUGCACCUUAAAGUUUGCACAGCUCUUUCACUAAUUUUGCUUCUUGACUUCUUAAAACAAUGUGAUGAGGUAGAAAUUGUUAUCCCCUCAUUUCCUGUAAAAACAGAGUGUCACAUGGAUUAUCACCACAUACAUUUGCUGACUUAUGGUGGAUUCCCUGGGAAAGAACUCUGAGUGGAAAUGUUUCUGUAAGAAAUUUGUUGAAGAGUGCUCCCAGGAAGGUCCACUAGGGAUGGGUGGGAACAGAAUUGGGCACAGUGGCAGCUGAGCUGCAAUAGAGACCUUAGGUGACCCCAUGGAGAGCUUUGGAAUCGGGAUGGCCAUUCAGACUUCACAUAAGGCAAGGGGGCAAGGCCUAUGUCCCCUACAUCAACCAGCCAUUGGAUGUGGACUGCUCUGAAAGAGGGGAUGUAAUCUUGGGUAAGGCCACUUGCUACCUUGAAUUGAUAACAAUUACUGAACUCAGCUGUAAGCCAUCAGCUGUCAAUACUUUUAAUAGCUGGCAACAUGAACACUGGUUCUGAAGAUAGAGUCUGGGUGGCAUACUACAGCAUCCGCUAAAGCCUCCUUCUUAUGUUUCUCAUAUCCACUUGUUUUGUAUAUAAGGUCACUCCAUCUGAGAACUGCUCCUCUAUGAUUCUGGUACAUCAGUUUCUCUGAGAAAACUUAGAAGGAGUGGGUACUCAGAAAAACUUAAUCUCCUGCUGCUACAGCUAGAUUCAGGCUGUACUGAUACUCUCCACCUCCACCUCUCUCACUUAUUCCUCUUUCCUUUGUUUGGCUACGACCUCACCUCUCCUAGGUGACAUACCCAGUAGGGUGACACAGACCUUUAUCCCUGAGAGGUAUGAGCCUCUGACCAUACCUGUCUCAUGACAUGGUUGCUGUAACAGUCUAUUUACUGUUAAUGCUGGGCAAGGAGGAUUUGGACAUACAUCAGUGGAUUACCUGGGUGUCAGAUAUCUGUCCCUACUGUGUGGCAGCAGUUCUAUCUCCUAAUGACAAUCACGGUCUAUCACCCCUAUCUAUCUCUCACUCACUCUUUCCUUGCUUGCUGGUCUCUUGACUCGAGGACCACAAAGUGGAUGGCAUAUAUCUCUGUGAAUCACAAUGAUGCGGGGGGGGGGGGGGGGCUGUAGUACUGAGGGAUAGGGAAUAGAUUCCUCUGUUCUUGGGCACAGAAAAACAGCCAUGGUUUAAAAGAGCAAUUAACUUAUAAAAGAGCCAGCACCAUAACUCUGCCAAAUGUUGGAGGAACUGUAGGAACACUCUCUGGGUCAGAAGGACUGGAGAAGAACAGGGUUUAUAUUCCUCCUCCACCCUAAAAGCACAUGGGGCGGUGGUCCAGAUGCCAUAAAGAGCUUGCUGCCUAAGUGAGCUCUGUCUGGGUCUAUAAACCCACACCAGCCCGGUUACUCUGUGGCACAGAAAAAAACCACUUUUUUUUUUUUGCUUUCUUUUUUUUCCUUUAAAAGGUCUUGGUUUAAAAGAACAACUAACAUAUAAAAGAACCCAACUGCCGAAGAGGUGGAAGAGCUCCUGGAAAGCUUUCUGGGUAGAAGGGGCUGACUGACAUGGUCUGUGGUCCCCACCUUCCCUCACAUUGGAAGUAGAGACUAAUGUACAGGCUGGGUAUCUGAACUGGACGGCUGCCUCAGUGAGCCCUAGACCCCUAACCCAUAACAGUCUCAACCAUCUUAUCCAGGUGUCCACAGGGUGGUACACACCAGGACACCCUUAAUUAGUGUUCACUACAGCCCCAGCCUUUGUGCAAAGGUGACACAGGUGUAAAGCAUAGUGGAACGCUCCAGGCCCACAUCUCUUUGACUUCCGAUGGCUUGCUAAGGCACCCAUUAUGCACAGCACUCUGGAACCUCCCACCUGACAUGUUUUGGGUCCAGUAUUCCUGCUUUGACAUGCCCUGUGUGGCCACCACAGCAGGCACUCCCUGCACUGAGCACCGUAGGAUACCAUGGCUUGCGCCCAGUACAGCUUGACCUGUCCCUCCAUGUCACCCUCAGAGGAGAGAUACCAAGAACAACCUCGCUAGCAACUAUUUGAGCUCUCUUGCCAGGGCACAUUUUGUAUUGAGAGCCCACAGUUCAUACCAGACUGUACCCAUGUUAAUUUUAGUUGCACAGAGUGCAGAGUGCCCCAGGACCUUCUGACUUGUGCCCAUGUUGGCUCCAGUCACCCUUUAAGGGCACCCUCUGUGUGGAGAGCCAUAUAUACCCCUAGUUUAUACCCACUUCAGCUAUACCCACCCUCUGCAGACCACUGGGUCCCCCCAGGUAGCACCCAGUUUAGGUUCAACUAUACUGCCAGGGAACCCUCAACACAGAAUGUUCAGGAACCUCCCAGCCCACACACUGCCUCAGCAUCAGCUACCCUGUCAAGACACCUCCUCCACAGAGUACCCUAGGACACCCCAGUUUGCACUUAUUUUGGCUUCAUCUGUCCUGCUAAGAUGCCCUCAAUACAUAGAACCUUGGGACACCAUAGCCUGCAUUGAAUUAAGCUUUAGCUGUCCUGACAUGGUGCCCAUUACCUGUAAGUCCUCAAGACCUGCAGCCCACACCAGCCACAACUCCAGCCAGCAAGGAAAAGUCACUAAACAUACACAGUCUACAUGGGGAAUGGUCAAACACAAGACCAUUCCUUUAAAUUUAGGAGAAUUAGGGGGAGGGGAAGAAAAAAAAAAGAGGUUAGAGUGGGAGAGAGCCAAAGUAUAAGAGACUCUUAAAAACUGAGAACAAACUGAGGGUUGAUGGGGGGUGGGAGGGAGGGGAGGUAGGUGAUGGGCAUUGAAGAGGGCAUCUUUUGGGAUGAGCACUGGGUGUUGUAUGGAAGCCAAUUUGACAAUAAAUUUCAUAUUAAAAAAAUAAAUUUAGGAGAAUUAUUUUGUUGCCUAAUCCAUAGAAAAAAACACAAAGAGACAAAAUGCAACAGAGAUAUAUAUUCCAAAACCAGGAAUAAGAAAAAAAACUUCCAAAAAAUGACUAAAUGAAAUGGUGAUAAGCAAUAUGCUUUAUAAAAAUUUAAAGUAAUGAUCAUAAAGACACUUAAUGGGCUGAAAAGAAGAGUAGAAGAACUCAGUGAGACCUUCAAUAAAGAGGAUUAAAUACUAAAAAGAUCAAAUCAGAGUUGAAGAAUACAAUACUGAAAUGAAAAACCUACUAGAGGAAACCAAUAGUAGAUUAGAGGAUGCAGAAUGUAUCAGCAAUCUGGAAGACAACGUAAAGGAAAGCACACAAGCUGAGGAGCAAAAAGAAAAGAAUUUUUAAAAAUGAAGAUAGGGGCACCUGGGUGGCUCAGUCAGGUGAGCAUCUGACUCCGGCUCAGGUCAUGAUCUCAUGGUUUGUGAGUUCAAGCCCCAAGUUCAAGCUGUGCUGACAGCUCAGAGCCUGGAGAUGCUUCAGAUUCUGUGUCUCCCUCUCUCUCUCUCUCUCUGCCCCUCCCCUGCUCACACACACAGCCUCUCUCUCACUCAAAAUAAACAUAAAAAAAUGUAGAUCUCUCGAACAACAUCAAACAUUGUAUGGGUCUCAGAGGAAGAGUGAAAGGGGUAAUAAAAUUAUUUGAAGAAAUAAUAGCUGAAAACUUCCCUAGAGAAGGAAAUAGAUGUCCAGUUCCAAAAAGCACAAAGAGUUCCAAACAAUAUGAACCUGAGGAGGUCCACACCAUGACACAUCAUGUCAAAGGUUAAAGAGAGAAUAUUACCAGCAGCAAUAGAGAAGCAAAAAGUUACCUACAAGACAAAACCUAGAAGGUAAUUAGCUGAAUUUUUAGCAGAAGCUUUGAAAGCUGGAAUGCAGUGGCAUGAUAUACUCAAAGUGCUGAAAGAAAAAAUCCACAAUCAAGAAUACCAAGCAAGGUUAUCAUUCAGAUUUGAAGGAGAGAGAGUUGCUCAGUUAAACAAAAGUUAAAGGAGACAAUCACCACUAAACCAGUCUUAAAAGAAAUGUUAAAUUCACUUCUAUAAGUGGAAAAGAAAUGACCAUAAAUAAAUGUAAGAAAAUGAUGAAUAAAAAUAUAAAGUAUGACAGCAUAUACAUAAAAUGUGGAGGAGAUAGUUUAAAAAAGGAAGUUUUUUUUAAAUGUAUUUUAACUUAAAUGAUCAGUGACCAUCAACUUAAUAAAGACUGCUGUUUACUUAGGAUGUUAUCUAUAAAUCUCAUGGUAUCCAAAAUGCAAAAUGUAUAAUUGAUACAAAAAAAUAAAGAGAACAAAAGCCAAACAUAACACUACAGAAAUUCAUCCAAAUCAAAGAAGAGUAAAGGAACAGAGAGGAACUACAAAAACCACCAGAAAAAAAUGCAAAUAAGUACAUAUCUAUCAAUGAUUACUUUAAAUGUAAGUGGUCUAAAUGCUCCAAUCAACAACAUGGGUUGGUGGAAUGAAUAAAAAUAUAAGGCCCAUUUAUAUCCUGCCUACAGGAGACUCACUUCAGACCUAAAGACACAUACAGACUAAAAGUGAAAGUAUGGAAAAUAUUUCCCAUGAAAAUGGAAGCAAAAAUAAAUUUGGGGUAGCAAUACUUAGAUAAAAAAUAGACUUUAAAACAAAGAUUGUAACAAGGGACAAAAAAGGGUAUUUCAUAAUGAUAAAGGAAAUCAAUUCAACAGGAGGAUAUAACAAUUUUAAAUGUCUACGCACCCAACACUGGCACCUUUUAAAUACAUAAAGCAAAUAUUAAUGGAGAUGAACAGAGAAACUGUUGACAGUACAGUAAGAGAGGGGACUAUAAUACCCUGCUGACAUCAAUGGAUAGAUGAUUUCUAUCAUUCAGGUAGAAAGUCAACAAGGAAACAGUGUCAAAAUGACACAUAAGACUAAUUGGACAUACCAUAUAUAUUCAGAACAUUCCAUCCAAACACAACAGAACCUCAUUCUUUUCAAGUGCAUAUGGGACAUUCUCCAGAGCAGAUCACAUGUUAAGCCACAAAACAAGCCUCUAGAAAUUUAAGAUUAAAAUAAUACAUCUUUUCUGACCAUAAUGAUAUGAAAUUAGAAAUCAAUCACAAGAAAAACUAGAUGGCACCAGAGUGCAUUAUGCUAAGUGAAAUAAGUCAGAAAAAAAGACAAAUAUCAUAUGAUUUCACUAACAUAGGGGAAGAAAAGGAAAAAUAAGAUAAAAACAGAGAGGGAAGCAAAUAAGAAGAGACUCUUGAAUAUAGAGAACGAACAAGGUUGCUGGAGGGGAAUUAGUGGGGGGAUGGGCUAAAUGGGUGAUGGGCAUUAAAGAGGGCACUUGUUGAUCACUGGGUGUUAUAUGUAAGUGAUAGUGACUCAUCACUAAACUCUACUCCUGAAACCAAUACUACACUAUAUGUUAACUAACUUGAAUUUAACUAACCUUAAGUUAAAUAUGUUAAUUAAUUUAACUAGCUUGAAUAUUAUAUGCUAACUUGAAUUAAAUUAUUUAGAUGGUAAAAGGAAAAAAAAAAGGAAAAAAUGCAAACACAUGAAGGGUAAACAUGAUAUUAAACUACAAAUGGACCAAUGCAGGGGCACCGAGGUGGCUCAGUCAGUUAAGCGUCUGACUUCAGCUCAGGUCAUGAUCAGGUCCAUGAGUUCAAGCCCCGCAUUGGGCUCUGUGCUGCCAGCUUAGAGCCUGGAACCUAUUUCAGAUUCUGUGUCUCCCUCUCUCUCUCUGCCCCUCCCCCGCUCAUGCUCUGGCUCUCUGUCUCUGAGAAAUGAGUAAACCUUAAAAAACUAAAUUGUAAAAAAACAACAAAUGGAGCAAUGAAGCAAUCAAGAAGAAAUAAAAACAAACAAACAAAACCCCAAAACCAAAAAAACCAAAUGGAAACAAAUGGAAAUGAAAACACAGUGGUCCAAAAUCUUUGGGACUCAGUAAAAACAAUUCUAAGAGAGAAACAUACGGUUAUACAGGCCUACCUUAAGAAACAAGGAAAAGCCUAAAUAAACCAUCUAAGUUUAUACCUAAAGGAACUAAAAAAAGAUGAAAACCCAAGGCAAGAAGAAGGAAGAAAAUAAUAAAGAUCAGAGAAGAAAUAAAUUAAUUGGAGACUAAAAAAGCAAUAGAUCAAUGAAACCAAGAGCUGGUUCUUUGAAAAGAUAAAUAAAAUAGAUAAACCCUUAGCAAGACUCACCAAGAAAAAAAGAGAAAGGACCCAAAUAAAAUCAGUAAUGAGAGAGGAGAAGUAACAACUGACACCACAAAAAUACAAAGGAUCAUAGGAGAAUACUAGGAAAAAUGACACGCCAACAAAUUAGCCAACCUGGAAGAAAUGGACACAUUCCUAGAACCAUACCAUCUUCUAAAAUGAAUGAGGAAGAAAUAGAAACUUGAAUAGAUUGAUUAUUAGUAAUGGUAUUGAGUCAGUUAUCCAAAAAAUACCCCCCAAAAAGUUCAGGAUCAGACGGAUUCACAAGUUAAUUGUAGCAAACUUUUAAAGAAGAGUUAAUAUUUAUUCUUCUCAAAGUAUUCCAAAAAAAUAAGAGUAAGGAAAUCCCCAAAAUACAUUUUACAAGACCAUCACUACUCUGAUACCAAAGACACUGCACCCCUAUGCUUACUGCAGUAUUAUUUACAAUAGCCAAGAUAUGGAAGCAACCUCAGUGUCCACUGAUAGACUAGAUAAGGAAAAUGUGGUAUACAUAUACAAUGGAAUAUUACACAGCCAUAGAAAAAGAUGAGAUUGUGCCAUUAGGAACAACUGUAUGGACGUAGAGGGUAUUCUAAUUGAAAUAAGUCAGACUGAGAAAGACAAAUACUCUAUGACUCCAGUCAUAUUUGGAUCUAAAAAAAGCAGAAUCAGGGGCACCUGGGUAGCUCAGUCGGUUAAGCGUCCGACUUCGCUCAGGUCAUGAUCUCAGAGUCCGUGAGUUCAAGCCCUGAGUUGGGCUCUGUGCUGACAGCUCAGAGUCUGGAGCCUGUUUCGGAUUCUGUGUCUCCCUCUCUCUCUGCCCCUCCCCCGUUUAUGCUCUGUCUCUCUCUGUCUC
Molecule: long non-coding RNA, 12806 nt
Organism: Acinonyx jubatus (cheetah)
Lineage: Eukaryota; Metazoa; Chordata; Mammalia; Carnivora; Felidae
Exons: 2
Source: RefSeq, a predicted model, not a curated record